GACGAACGCUGGCGGCGUGCUUAACACAUGCAAGUCGAACGGAAAGGCCCUGCUUUUGUGGGGUGCUCGAGUGGCGAACGGGUGAGUAACACGUGAGUAACCUGCCCUUGACUUUGGGAUAACUUCAGGAAACUGGGGCUAAUACCGGAUAGGAGCUCCUGCUGCAUGGUGGGGGUUGGAAAGUUUCGGCGGUUGGGGAUGGACUCGCGGCUUAUCAGCUUGUUGGUGGGGUAGUGGCUUACCAAGGCUUUGACGGGUAGCCGGCCUGAGAGGGUGACCGGCCACAUUGGGACUGAGAUACGGCCCAGACUCCUACGGGAGGCAGCAGUGGGGAAUAUUGCACAAUGGGCGGAAGCCUGAUGCAGCAACGCCGCGUGCGGGAUGACGGCCUUCGGGUUGUAAACCGCUUUCGCCUGUGACGAAGCGUGAGUGACGGUAAUGGGUAAAGAAGCACCGGCUAACUACGUGCCAGCAGCCGCGGUGAUACGUAGGGUGCGAGCGUUGUCCGGAUUUAUUGGGCGUAAAGGGCUCGUAGGUGGUUGAUCGCGUCGGAAGUGUAAUCUUGGGGCUUAACCCUGAGCGUGCUUUCGAUACGGGUUGACUUGAGGAAGGUAGGGGAGAGUGGAAUUCCUGGUGGAGCGGUGGAAUGCGCAGAUAUCAGGAGGAACACCAGUGGCGAAGGCGGUUCUCUGGGCCUUUCCUGACGCUGAGGAGCGAAAGCGUGGGGAGCGAACAGGCUUAGAUACCCUGGUAGUCCACGCUGUAAACGGUGGGUACUAGGUGUGGGGUCCAUUCCACGGGUUCCGUGCCGUAGCUAACGCUUUAAGUACCCCGCCUGGGGAGUACGGCCGCAAGGCUAAAACUCAAAGGAAUUGACGGGGCCCCGCACAAGCGGCGGAGCAUGCGGAUUAAUUCGAUGCAACGCGUAGAACCUUACCUGGGUUUGACAUGGAUCGGGAGUGCUCAGAGAUGGGUGUGCCUCUUUUGGGGUCGGUUCACAGGUGGUGCAUGGCUGUCGUCAGCUCGUGUCGUGAGAUGUUGGGUUAAGUCCCGCAACGAGCGCAACCCUUGUUCACUGUUGCCAGCACGUUAUGGUGGGGACUCAGUGGAGACCGCCGGGGUCAACUCGGAGGAAGGUGGGGAUGACGUCAAGUCAUCAUGCCCCUUAUGUCCAGGGCUUCACGCAUGCUACAAUGGCUGGUACAGAGAGUGGCGAGCCUGUGAGGGUGAGCGAAUCUCGGAAAGCCGGUCUCAGUUCGGAUUGGGGUCUGCAACUCGACCUCAUGAAGUCGGAGUCGCUAGUAAUCGCAGAUCAGCAACGCUGCGGUGAAUACGUUCCCGGG
RNAcentral lists this ribosomal RNA (1343 nucleotides) under uncultured bacterium. RNAcentral describes it as "16S ribosomal RNA". It matches the Rfam family "Bacterial small subunit ribosomal RNA", at positions 28 to 1378 of the family's 1533-position model. The record is from RNAcentral.